Molecule: ribosomal RNA, 347 nt
Filed under: Gyraulus sp. clade A TS-2018
Lineage: Eukaryota; Metazoa; Mollusca; Gastropoda; Planorbidae
Description: partial 16S ribosomal RNA
Rfam family: Archaeal large subunit ribosomal RNA
Source: RNAcentral
UGCCCAGUGUCAGUAGAUAAAUGGCCGCAGUACCUUGACUGUGCUAAGGUAGCAUAAUCAAUUGGCUUUUAAUUGAAGUCUAGAAUGAAUGGGAUAAUGGAAUUUAGCUGUCUUGAUUUUUUUAAUAAAAAUUUAUUUAUAAGGUGAAAAUACCUUAAAUUAUAAUAAAGACGAGAAGACCCUAUGAAUUUUUAAAUUUUUUUUGUUGGGGCGACAGUUUAAAAAUAAAAUCUUAAAUUUAAAAUAUAUAACGAUUUUUUAAUAAAAAUUAAAUUACCUUAGGGAUAACAGCAUUAUUAUUCAAAUAGUUUGUGACCUCGAUGUUGGACUAGGAACUAAAAGGCUAA